GGCGUAGCCAUCAUGUCCCGACUGAGUCUGUUUGACCUAUAGUUUCUUUUUUUAAAUCAUUUUCUCAUUUUCUGACCUGUAAAUAGAUACCUUAAAUGGAAAUGAUUUUUAAAAAUGGAUUUAAAAAAAGUUAUCAAAUUAGGUACAUUCAUAAUACAACAAUUACACGUAUGACAAUUAAUUCACAAAGUAUAAGUUAAGUGGAAGUUAAGUGGAGUCAUAACUUGAAUUCACUUUGAUUUUGGAUCACUCUUAGCAGAUGUGUGAAAGAUGACCCGUGAUGGGGACUACAGCGCCAUGGGACACUAGCUCUGGAGACCAUUACAAUUAUGGCCGUAGUGCAGAAUAUAAGCUGCCAGAGGACAAGAACUCUUGGAUGUCUGGUGUCACUGCUGCAUACCAGGCACACAGCAGGUGCUUAAUAAACAUUUGAUGAAUACAUCAAAUGAAUGAGGAGAGUGACAUAGUUAAAAAAAAAUCAAAUUAGAAAUUGGGCUUCUUGGCAGCCCAAGAAGAGCUCUCUAGCUAGAAAUUUUCAAACCAGCGGACACAAGUUUCUUUGGUGUUAACAAGGCGGCCGCAAGAUUGCUAUGGAGAAGGAGGACUCUGUGUACCAUGGAGAGUAACGGCAUGAGCUUUAGAGGCGGCUAACCCUGUGCAGAUGUGCGACUUGGACAGGUUACUGAGCUUGCUAAGCCCCUGUCUCACUCCCCAAACAGGGAUAAUGACACCUCUCCCACAGGUGGUUGUGAGGAUUAAAUGAGAUAAUCCUUUAAAGCUCCCAUUUUAGCACACAGUAAGAAGCAUGCAGCAAUGAACAGAAUAGCUGUGAGGAAGCAUUAAUAGCCAACAGCCUUUUUCAGGAGAAUUGCUUGAGCCUGGGAGGCGGAGGUUGCA
Long non-coding RNA from Sapajus apella (tufted capuchin), 897 nucleotides. RefSeq lists it as uncharacterized. The transcript has 3 exons. NCBI's taxonomy places the organism in Eukaryota, Metazoa, Chordata, Mammalia, Primates, Cebidae. The record is from RefSeq and is a predicted model, not a curated record.